AUUGAACGCUGGCGGCAGGCCUAACACAUGCAAGUCGAACGGUAACAGGCAGCAGCUUGCUGCUUUGCUGACGAGUGGCGGACGGGUGAGUGAUGUCUGGGCAACUGCGCGAUGGAGGGGGAUAACUACUGGAAACGGUAGCUAAUACCGCAUAACGUCGCAGGACCAAAGAGGGAGACCUUAGGGCCUCUUGCCGUCGGAUGGGCGCAGAUGGGGUUAGCUAGUAGGUGGGGUAACGGCUCACCUAGGCGACGAUCCCUAGCUGGUCUGAGAGGAUGAAGAGCAACACUGGAACUGAGACAAGGUCCAGACUCCUACGGGAGGCAGCAGUGGGGAAUAUUGCACAAUGGGCGCAAGCCUGAUGCAGCCAUGCCGCGUGUAUGAAGAAGGCCUUCGGGUUGUAAAGUACUUUCAGCGGGGAGGAAGGGAGUAAAGUUAAUACCUUUGCUCAUUGACGUUACCCGAAGAAGAAGCACCGGCUAACUCCGUG
This 490-nucleotide ribosomal RNA is filed under the name uncultured bacterium. RNAcentral's name for it is "partial 16S ribosomal RNA". It matches the Rfam family "Bacterial small subunit ribosomal RNA", at positions 30 to 507 of the family's 1533-position model. The record is from RNAcentral.